RNAcentral lists this ribosomal RNA (513 nucleotides) under uncultured bacterium. RNAcentral describes it as "partial 16S ribosomal RNA". It matches the Rfam family "Bacterial small subunit ribosomal RNA", at positions 28 to 523 of the family's 1533-position model. The record is from RNAcentral.
GAUUAACGCUGGCGGCGUGCCUAAUACAUGCAAGUCGAGCGAACAGAUGAAGUGCUUGCACUUCUGACGUUAGCGGCGAACGGGUGAGUAACACGUAAGGAAUCUACCUAUAAGCGGGGGAUAACAUUCGGAAACGGGUGCUAAUACCGCAUAAUAUCUUCUUCCGCAUGGAAGAAGAUUGAAAGACGGCUCUGCUGUCACUUAUAGAUGACCUUGCGGUGCAUUAGUUAGUUGGUGGGGUAAUGGCCUACCAAGACGAUGAUGCAUAGCCGACCUGGGAGGGUGAUCGGCCACAUUGGGACGGAGACACGGCCCAAACUCCUACGGGAGGCAGCAGUAGGGAAUCUUCCGCAAUGGGCGAAAGCCUGACGGAGCAAUGCCGCGUGAGUGAAGAAGGCCUUCGGGUCGUAAAACUCUGUUAUAAGAGAAGAACAAAUUGUAGAGUAACUGCUACAGUCCUGACGGUAUCUUAUCAGAAAGCCACGGCUAACUACGUGCCAGCCGCCGCCGUAA